Molecule: long non-coding RNA, 483 nt
Filed under: Homo sapiens (human)
Lineage: Eukaryota; Metazoa; Chordata; Mammalia; Primates; Hominidae
Description: HSALNT0266623
Source: RNAcentral
CUCAGUGCUGCCCGUCACAAAUGGUGACACUCAGCACAGUUCACUUGUUUUGCCUUCCCAGCAGCCUCAUGGAGUAGCUCCUAAUAGCUCUGCUUUAUAGGUGAGGGUGAGGGGAGGCCCACAGUCCCACAGGCCUGCCUCCAGUGAAGGGGCUCAUGAGCCCCCCAUGUCCUGGUGGCCUCUGCAAUUCCCGGAAGACACCAGGGCUGUUAAGCCACGGGGCUCUGGAGUCAGCGGCCUGGGCUGACGUGCCAGCUAGCUCUGGAUCUCUGACACGGGCACCCUUCUGCUGAGUGGAGGCCAUCACAGCGCCUGUUUCUCAGGACCGUCAGCGCUUUAACCAGGAUAAUGCAGAGAAAGUAUCUUGCCUGGGGCCCGGCCCGCAAGAGUCUUGGAAGACACUGGGUGCCAUCGCUACCCCUCCGGGCCACACGCUGAUGUCCUGAAAUGGAGAGGCGCUGGUACUCAAGGCGCAUGAGGCGG